RNAcentral lists this long non-coding RNA (705 nucleotides) under Olea europaea subsp. europaea. Lineage: Eukaryota; Viridiplantae; Streptophyta; Magnoliopsida; Lamiales; Oleaceae. The record is from RNAcentral.
CUAGCAUUCAUUCUAAGUCCCGAUUCAUCACCAAACUUAGAAAGACAAUUCAUCAAAAUCCUAACCGAGAUGAGAUCACCCCUAGCAUCAAAUCAUCGGCAAAUGCUAAAUGAGUAAUCUUUAACGACCCACAUUUAUGUUGAUAAUUAAAAUCACUAUUCUCGGUAUCACCUUUCAACAUUCUCGAAAAAUAUUCAAGACAAAGCACAAACAAGAAUAGAGAUAACGGAUCACCUCGUCUAAGCCCUUUUCUUCCCUUAAAGAAGCCAUUUAGACUACCACCAAGUGCAGUGGAGUAAGGAAUAGAGAUGCAUUCCAUAAUCCAACCAAUAAACUUAAUUGGAAAAAUCCAAACCUUAUAGCACGCUUUUGAGAAAGUCCCAAUUCACCCAUCAUUUGUUUUCCUCAAAUCAAUUUUAAUAAGGCAUCUCGGGACAACUCUUUUCCGAUUAUAUUGUCUCAAGAGCUCUUGCGCAAGGUGAAUGCUCUCGAUCGUGCUUCUCUCUACAAAUGCCGCUUGUGCUUGAUCAACAAUGGAUCCAAGUAUAGGUCCCAAUCAAGAAACAAAAAUCUUUGCAAUGAUCAUGUAAAAUACAUUACAACAUGCAAUCAACCUAUAGUCUCCAACGGAAGAUGAGUGGUUUGUAUUACGCAACAUGGCAAUCACCGUAUGAUUAGUUUGUUUAAGAAGAGAGGAAGAGUCCA